CGAGUUGUUUGGGAAUGCUGCUCAAAAUGGGAGGUAAACCCCUUCUAAAGCUAAAUACCGGCCAGAGACCGAUAGCGCACAAGUAGAGUGAUCGAAAGAUGAAAAGCACUUUGAAAAGAGAGUUAAAAAGCACGUGAAAUUGUUGAAAGGGAAGCGCUUGCGACCAGACUUGCGCCCGUCGGAUCAGCCGUCCCUCGCGGGCGGCGCACUCCGGCGGGCUCAGGCCAGCAUCGGUUCGCCUCGGGGGGAGAAAGGCGGCGGGAAUGUGGCUCUACGGAGUGUUAUAGCCCGCCGCGCAAUACCCCCGGGCGGACCGAGGACCGCGCGUAUGCAAGGAUGCUGGCGUAAUGGUCGUCAGCNACCCGUCUUGAAACAC
RNAcentral lists this ribosomal RNA (376 nucleotides) under Pithoascus nidicola. RNAcentral describes it as "LSU rRNA". It matches the Rfam family "Eukaryotic large subunit ribosomal RNA", at positions 266 to 662 of the family's 3401-position model. Lineage: Eukaryota; Fungi; Ascomycota; Sordariomycetes; Microascales; Microascaceae. The record is from RNAcentral.